UAAGGAAUAUUGCUCAAUGGGAGAAAUCCUGAAGCAGCAACGCCGCGUGGAGGAUGAAGGGUCUAUGACUUGUAAACUCCUGUAAAGAAGGAAAAAAUUCCCAUUAGAUGGGAGAUGAUGGUACUUCUGGAGUAAGCCCCGGCUAACUACGUGCCAGCAGCCGCGGUAAUACGUAGGGGGCAAGCGUUGUCCGGAUUUACUGGGUGUAAAGGGUGCUCAGGCGGAUUUGUAAGUCAGAGGUGAAAUCUUACAGCUUAACUGUGAAACUGCCUUUGAUACUGCAAGUCUAGACUAUGGAAGAGAGUGAUGGAAUAUCUGGUGUAGCAGUGAAAUGCGUAGAUAUCAGAUAGAACACCAAUGGCGAAGGCAGUCACUUGGUCCAUUACUGACGCUAAAGCACGAAAGCGUGGGUAGCAAACA
This 420-nucleotide ribosomal RNA is filed under the name uncultured bacterium. RNAcentral describes it as "bacterial SSU rRNA". It matches the Rfam family "Bacterial small subunit ribosomal RNA", at positions 355 to 774 of the family's 1533-position model. The record is from RNAcentral.